CCACGCGCUCCGGUACUCGCUGCUCGCGGCUGGCCGGCUCGGGAUUCCGGGCUUUCUUCCCGAGACCGCGUCCCCCAGCUGGGCCGAAGGUGGACGCUCAGGGGCUGGAGGCUCAGCGGAAUCCCCUGCGUUCAGUAGCCCCGCUCUCCCCUGUCCCGAAGAUCAGGGAUAGCAGAAAUGAAAGUAUAAUGGAAGCAGCUGGAGGAUUCCAGGUCCACUUUCACCCAAGUAAUGGAGACGGAAGGUUCAUCGAAACUUCUUCAGCUGCAGAUCUAGAAGUCAUUAGCUAUUCUAGCAAAGUAUCUGUCACAGAAAGGUGCUUCAUAAAGGUCUGCACUGUGCUCUUUUGACCUGUGUCUUCAAGCAUGUGCUGUCAUAACAGAUUAAAGAUGACUGAAAAUUAUCUGCCACUCAUUGCGUGAAAGGUGGGAUCUGUAGACCUCCCUCUUGAAUUUGGGAGGGUUCUGUGACUGCUGUGACCAAUGAAUAUGGCAGAAGUGACGCUUUGCCAACUUCUGGGUCCAGGCUAUACGAGACAGGCAGUUCCACUCACUGUCUCUUAGAUCCAUGUAAAAAGUUCAUCUACCCUGCUGGAAAAACCAUGUAGAGAGGCCCUGAGACUACAUUGGGUGGGAGAGGGGCUCAGCUGCACCAUCUUCCAACUGUCCCCAUCAAGAUGACAGAAAUAUAAAUGAAGCCUUCUUGAACUCCAGACCAUCCAUGCUACAAGCUAAAUGCCACCAAGCGACCCCAGUUAAUACCAUGUGGAGCAAAAAUAUCACUUAACCAAGCACUGCCUGAGUUUCUGACCCCACAGAAUUCUGACCCCAUACAAAUAAAAUAAUUUUUGUAAUUUUUUAUAAUUCGUCAUGUAAUAGAUAAAUGGAACAGCCUUCUUCCAGUCUUUUAAAUAGCUGCAAGAAAUCUUAUUCAAGCAGAAGGAAGUUUCUACUUUGUUCAUACAGUCUCAAGACAUCCCUGGAGCCUUUCAAGGGAAAUUUGGGCAGAAGUAGGUAGAGAGGUAAAGCUAUUAUGUAACAUUACUUAACAUGAUUAAAACCACCUUAAUGUCUCCCAUCCUCAAAGGCUGCCAGUGAAUUGGAAAUUAAUGGAUUAAAUGAGGACAGAGAAACUAGUAUUUGUGCAUAUGCACUGUGCCAGGUAUUUAACGUAUCUUAGCUCAUGUGGUCUUCGAAACAACCCCAUAUUGUAGUAUCAGGCUCACACGGGUAACUAACUAGUGCAAAGACACAAGGCUCACAAACUGCUACUUGACCCUAGAGCUCUUUGACUCCGAUUCCCAUGUACGUGCCCCAAUACCAUGUUGACUCCCAAGGUGUAAAUCUUCAGGUAU
Molecule: long non-coding RNA, 1354 nt
Filed under: Homo sapiens (human)
Lineage: Eukaryota; Metazoa; Chordata; Mammalia; Primates; Hominidae
Description: KTN1 antisense RNA 1
Source: RNAcentral